Molecule: ribosomal RNA, 459 nt
Filed under: uncultured Lysobacterales bacterium
Lineage: Bacteria; Pseudomonadati; Pseudomonadota; Gammaproteobacteria; Lysobacterales
Description: bacterial SSU rRNA
Rfam family: Bacterial small subunit ribosomal RNA
Source: RNAcentral
ACGGGAGGCAGCAGUGGGGAAUAUUGGACAAUGGGCGCAAGCCUGAUCCAGCCAUACCGCGUGGGUGAAGAAGGCCUUCGGGUUGUAAAGCCCUUUUGUUGGGAAAGAAAUCCAGCUGGCUAAUACCCGGUUGGGAUGACGGUACCCAAAGAAUAAGCACCGGCUAACUUCGUGCCAGCAGCCGCGGUAAUACGAAGGGUGCAAGCGUUACUCGGAAUUACUGGGCGUAAAGCGUGCGUAGGUGGUCGUUUAAGUCCGUUGUGAAAGCCCUGGGCUCAACCUGGGAACUGCAGUGGAUACUGGGCGACUAGAAUGUGGUAGAGGGUAGCGGAAUUCCUGGUGUAGCAGUGAAAUGCGUAGAGAUCAGGAGGAACAUCCAUGGCGAAGGCAGCUACCUGGACCAACAUUGACACUGAGGCACGAAAGCGUGGGGAGCAAACAGGAUUAGAUACCCUGGUA